Molecule: RNA transcript, 628 nt
Organism: Nannospalax galili (Upper Galilee mountains blind mole rat)
Lineage: Eukaryota; Metazoa; Chordata; Mammalia; Rodentia; Spalacidae
Gene name: HAUS augmin-like complex subunit 1 pseudogene
Exons: 1
Source: RefSeq, a predicted model, not a curated record
CUGUCUAAUAUGGGCUCCAGGUUUUUGACUGCUUUGGUUGAUAGUGCAGUAACCCUAGAAACGAAGGACACCUCACUUACAAGUUUUCUUCCUGUAGUGAAUGAUUUUUUGGACCAAAAAAUUUCUGAUCUUUUUUGGACCAAAUCCGAAAGUGAAGAAAUCAAGCUUGAACUGGGAAAAUUUGAAAAGAACCUGAUGGCGACUUUAGUGUUAGAAAAAUGUCUACAAGAAGAUUUCAAGAAGGCAGAGCUGCAUCUGUCUGCUGAAAGGGCCAAGGUUGACAAUCGUCUUCAGAACACGGACUUCCUAAAAGCAAAGUCACAGGAGUUCAGAUUUGGAAUCAAAGCUGCAGAGGAGCAACUUUCAGUCAGAGGCAUGAAUGCUUCUCUGUCUCCUCAGUGGCUAGUGGCACUAUCAGAUAAACUGGCAGAGCUAAAACAACAGACUAGUCCUUGGAAGGAAAAAUUGGAAUCCUAUUUAGAGUUAAUGCCGAAUCCAUCUCUGGCUCAAGUGAAAAUUGAAGAAGCAAAGAGAGAAUUAGAUGCCAUUGAAGCCGAACUUACAAAGAAAGUAGACAUGAUGUAACUGUGACUAGAACCAAAUAAACAUGCUUUUUCCUUAAAAAAAA